AUACCAUGAUGCGAGCACUUCCUUAAUAACUCUUUGAAUCUCUCCCAUGCAGCAUCAGUGAUUACCCUUCUGUCUAGUAUAAAUUAUUAAUUUCCUCUCUCAACUU
Humulus lupulus (European hop) is the source of this 106-nucleotide small nucleolar RNA. Lineage: Eukaryota; Viridiplantae; Streptophyta; Magnoliopsida; Rosales; Cannabaceae. The record is from RefSeq and is a predicted model, not a curated record.